UACAAAGGUCUCAACCGUUGUUCGGAUUCAUUGGGCGUAAAGGGUGCGUAGGCGGCGGGGCAAGUCAGGUGUGAAAUCUCGGGGCUCAACCCCGAAACUGCACUUGAUACUGCCUUGCUCGAGUACUGGAGAGGAGACUGGAAUUUACGGUGUAGCAGUGAAAUGCGUAGAUAUCGUAAGGAAGACCAGUGGCGAAGGCGAGUCUCUGGACAGUUACUGACGCUGAGGCACGAAGGCCAGGGGAGCAAACGGG
Molecule: ribosomal RNA, 253 nt
Filed under: uncultured bacterium
Lineage: Bacteria
Description: partial 16S ribosomal RNA
Rfam family: Bacterial small subunit ribosomal RNA
Source: RNAcentral